AAAGGGAAGAAAAAGGAAAAGAAGGAAGGAAAAAAAAAAAGGGAAGAAGAGGAAAAGAGAUUUUUUUGAGAGGAAUACUACUUGGAGCUCAAGUUAUUGAUUCUUGAAUUUCUAUCUACAUUAAGGUGGUGACGAGGAGAUUGGAAGAGUCUAUCGACCAUCUUAGGUUCAACUUGUAUUAUAUAGUAGCUGAGUUGAAUACUACUGGGCCAGUUGAUCUAUCAAGUUGAGCCAUAGACUGUCAAGACUUGUAUGAACUAUCUUUUCAGUUUAAGAGUUCAUAUUUUGGAAUAGACACCUCUUUUGGUCAUAAAUUAGUUCAAUGUGUUGGGCUUGCUAUGUUUUGUAUAUAUAUUAUGCAUUUUGGGUACUGUAGUUUAGAAAUUGUUGCAAAAGUCGAAUUGCCAGUGUUGUAUUUGAAUAGUUGAUAUUUUGAGGGGCCGAUGUACCCUAUUUCAAAUGAUAUGUACAUGUUUGGGAUAUUUGAUUUUA
This is a long non-coding RNA of Olea europaea var. sylvestris, 492 nucleotides long. RefSeq lists it as uncharacterized. The transcript has 4 exons. The record is from RefSeq and is a predicted model, not a curated record. Lineage: Eukaryota; Viridiplantae; Streptophyta; Magnoliopsida; Lamiales; Oleaceae.